AUUGAACGCUGGCGGAAUGCUUUACACAUGCAAGUCGAACGGCAGCACGGGGCAACCUGGUGGCGAGUGGCGAACGGGUGAGUAAUACAUCGGAACGUGCCCAAUCGUGGGGGAUAACGUAGCGAAAGUUACGCUAAUACCGCAUACGAUCUACGGAUGAAAGCGGGGGAUCGCAAGACCUCGCGCGAAUGGAGCGGCCGAUGUCAGAUUAGGUAGUUGGUGGGGUAAAGGCUCACCAAGCCGACGAUCUGUAGCUGGUCUGAGAGGACGACCAGCCACACUGGGACUGAGACACGGCCCAGACUCCUACGGGAGGCAGCAGUGGGGAAUUUUGGACAAUGGGCGCAAGCCUGAUCCAGCCAUUCCGCGUGCAGGAUGAAGGCCUUCGGGUGUAAACUGCUUUGUACGGAACGAAACGGUUACGUCUCUAAUACAGGGGCUAAGUGACGGUACCGUAAGAAUAAGCACCGGCUAACUACGU
This 481-nucleotide ribosomal RNA is filed under the name uncultured bacterium. Its description in RNAcentral is "bacterial SSU rRNA". It matches the Rfam family "Bacterial small subunit ribosomal RNA", at positions 30 to 506 of the family's 1533-position model. The record is from RNAcentral.